RNAcentral lists this ribosomal RNA (681 nucleotides) under uncultured bacterium. RNAcentral's name for it is "bacterial SSU rRNA". It matches the Rfam family "Bacterial small subunit ribosomal RNA", at positions 76 to 753 of the family's 1533-position model. The record is from RNAcentral.
GACUUCGGUCUGGUGGCGAGUGGCGAACGGGUGAGUAAUAUAUCGGAACGUACCCUGGAGUGGGGGAUAACGCAGCGAAAGUUGCGCUAAUACCGCAUACGAUCUACGGAUGAAAGUGGGGGCUCGCAAGACCUCAUGCUCGUGGAGCGGCCGAUAUCUGAUUAGCUAGUUGGUAGGGUAAAAGCCUACCAAGGCUUCGAUCAGUAGCUGGUCUGAGAGGACGACCAGCCACACUGGGACUGAGACACGGCCCAGACUCCUACGGGAGGCAGCAGUGGGGAAUUUUGGACAAUGGGGGCAACCCUGAUCCAGCAAUGCCGCGUGAGUGAAGAAGGCCUUCGGGUUGUAAAGCUCUUUUGUCAGGGAAGAAACGGUGAAGGCUAAUACUCUUUGCUAAUGACGGUACCUGAAGAAUAAGCACCGGCUAACUACGUGCCAGCAGCCGCGGUAAUACGUAGGGUGCAAGCGUUAAUCGGAAUUACUGGGCGUAAAGCGUGCGCAGGCGGUUAUGUAAGUCAGAUGUGAAAUCCCCGGGCUCAACCUGGGAAUGGCAUUUGAGACUGCAUGGCUAGAGUGUGUCAGAGGGGGGUAGAAUUCCACGUGUAGCAGUGAAAUGCGUAGAUAUGUGGAGGAAUACCGAUGGCGAAGGCAGCCCCCUGGGAUAACACUGACGCUCAUGCA